GACGAACGCUGGCGGCGUGCUUAACACAUGCAAGUCGAACGGAAAGGCCCUGCUUUUGUGGGGUGCUCGAGUGGCGAACGGGUGAGUAACACGUGAGUAACCUGCCCUUGACUUUGGGAUAACUUCAGGAAACUGGGGCUAAUACCGGAUAGGAGCUCCUGCUGCAUGGUGGGGGUUGGAAAGUUUCGGCGGUUGGGGAUGGACUCGCGGCUUAUCAGCUUGUUGGUGGGGUAGUGGCUUACCAAGGCUUUGACGGGUAGCCGGCCUGAGAGGGUGACCGGCCACAUUGGGACUGAGAUACGGCCCAGACUCCUACGGGAGGCAGCAGUGGGGAAUAUUGCACAAUGGGCCGAAGCCUGAUGCAGCAACGCCGCGUGCGGGAUGACGUCCUUCGGGUUGUAAACCGCUUUCGCCUGUGACGAAGCGUGAGUGACGGUAAUGGGUAAAGAAGCACCGGCUAACUACGUG
RNAcentral lists this ribosomal RNA (468 nucleotides) under uncultured bacterium. RNAcentral's name for it is "partial 16S ribosomal RNA". It matches the Rfam family "Bacterial small subunit ribosomal RNA", at positions 28 to 507 of the family's 1533-position model. The record is from RNAcentral.